UAAUACGGAGGAUCCGAGCGUUAUCCGGAUUUAUUGGGUUUAAAGGGUGCGUAGGUGGUUUGAUAAGUCAGCGGUGAAAGUUUGCAGCUUAACUGUAAAAAUGCCGUUGAAACUGUCGGACUUGAGUGUAAAUGAGGUAGGCGGAAUGCGUGGUGUAGCGGUGAAAUGCAUAGAUAUCACGCAGAACUCCGAUUGCGAAGGCAGCUUACUAAGCUACAACUGACACUGAAGCACGAAAGCGUGGGGAUCAAACAGG
Molecule: ribosomal RNA, 256 nt
Filed under: uncultured bacterium
Lineage: Bacteria
Description: partial 16S ribosomal RNA
Rfam family: Bacterial small subunit ribosomal RNA
Source: RNAcentral